Molecule: ribosomal RNA, 459 nt
Filed under: uncultured bacterium
Lineage: Bacteria
Description: partial 16S ribosomal RNA
Rfam family: Bacterial small subunit ribosomal RNA
Source: RNAcentral
CCUACGGGGGGCAGCAGUGAGGAAUAUUGGUCAAUGGUCGGGAGACUGAACCAGCCAAGCCGCGUGAGGGAUGAAGGUACAGAGUAUCGUAAACCUCUUUUGUCAGGGAACAAAGGCGGGGACGUGUCCCCGGAUGAGUGUACCUGAAGAAAAAGCAUCGGCUAACUCCGUGCCAGCAGCCGCGGUAAUACGGAGGAGGCGAGCGUUAUCAGGAUUUAUGGGGUUUAAAGGGUGCGCAUGCGGUUUGUUAAGUCAGCGGUCAAAGCCCGGGGCUCAACCCCGGCCCGCCGUUGAAACUGGCAGUCUCGAGUUGGAGAGAAGUAUGCGGAAUGCGCGGUGUAGCGGUGAAAUGCAUAGAUAUCGCGCAGAACUCCGAUUGCGAAGGCAGCAUGCCGGCUCCACACUGACGCUGAGGCACGAAAGCGUGGGUAUCGAACAGGAUUAGAUACCCCUGUAGUC